GACGGAGGGUGCUAGCGUUGUUCGGAAUCACUGGGCGUAAAGGGUGCGUAGGCGGGUCUUUAAGUCAGGGGUGAAAUCCUGGAGCUCAACUCCAGAACUGCCUUUGAUACUGAGGAUCUUGAGUUCGGGAGAGGUGAGUGGAACUGCGAGUGUAGAGGUGAAAUUCGUAGAUAUUCGCAAGAACACCAGUGGCGAAGGCGGCUCACUGGCCCGAUACUGACGCUGAGGCACGAAAGCGUGGGGAGCAAACAGG
This 253-nucleotide ribosomal RNA is filed under the name uncultured bacterium. RNAcentral's name for it is "partial 16S ribosomal RNA". It matches the Rfam family "Bacterial small subunit ribosomal RNA", at positions 524 to 776 of the family's 1533-position model. The record is from RNAcentral.